GGCAUGAUGCAUGAUAUACAUGCAAGUCGAGCGGACAGAAGGGAGCUUGCUCCCGGAUGUUAGCGGCGGACGGGUGAGUAACACGUGGGUAACCUGCCUGUAAGACUGGGAUAACUCCGGGAAACCGGAGCUAAUACCGGAUAGUUCCUUGAACCGCAUGGUUCAAGGAUGAAAGACGGUUUCGGCUGUCACUUACAGAUGGACCCGCGGCGCAUUAGCUAGUUGGUGAGGUAACGGCUCACCAAGGCGACGAUGCGUAGCCGACCUGAGAGGGUGAUCGGCCACACUGGGACUGAGAACACGGCCCAGACUUCUACGGGAGGGCAGCAGUAGGGAAUCUUCCGCAUUGGACGAAGGUACCUAACCAGAAAGCCACGGCUAACUACGUGCCAGCAGCCGCGGUAAUACGUAGGUGGCAAGCGUUGUCCGGAAUUAUUGGGCGUAAAGGGCUCGCAGGCGGUUUCUUAAGUCUGAUGUGAAAGCCCCCGGCUCAACCGGGGAGGGUCAUUGGAAACUGGGAAACUUGAGUGCAGAAGAGGAGAGUGGAAUUCCACGUGUAGCGGUGAAAUGCGUAGAGAUGUGGAGGAACACCAGUGGCGAAGGCGACUCUCUGGUCUGUAACUGACGCUGAGGAGCGAAAGCGUGGGGAGCGAACAGGAUUAGAUACCCUGGUAGUCCACGCCGUAAACGAUGAGUGCUAAGUGUUAAGGGGGUUUCCGCCCCUUAGUGCUGCAGCUAACGCAUUAAGCACUCCGCCUGGGGAGUACGGUCGCAAGACUGAAACUCAAAGGAAUUGACGGGGGCCCGCACAAGCGGUGGAGCAUGUGGUUUAAUUCGAAGCAACGCGAAGAACCUUACCAGGUCUUGACAUCCUCUGACAACCCUAGAGAUAGGGCUUUCCCUUCGGGGACAGAGUGACAGUGGGUGCAUGGUGUCGUCAGCUCGUGUCCGUGAAGAGGUGUGGGGUUAAGUCCCGCAACGAGCGCAACCCUUGAUCUUAGUUGCCAGCAUUCAGUUGGGCACUCUAAGGUGACUGCCGGUGACAAACCGGAGGAAGGUGGGGAGUGACGUCAAAUCAUCAUGCCCCUUAUGACCUGGGCUACACACGUGCUACAAUGGACAGAACAAAGGGCUGCGAGACCGCAAGGUUUAGCCAAUCCCACAAAUCUGUUCUCAGUUCGGAUCGCAGUCUGCAACUCGACUGCGUGAAGCUGGAAUCGCUAGUAAUCGCGGAUCAGCAUGCCGCGGUGAAUACGUUCCCGGGCCUUGUACACACCGCCCGUCACACCACGAGAGUUUGCAACACCCGAAGUCGGUGAGGUAACCUUUAUGUAGCCAGCCGCUAGUAGAGUGACCC
RNAcentral lists this ribosomal RNA (1357 nucleotides) under Bacillus pumilus. RNAcentral describes it as "bacterial SSU rRNA". It matches the Rfam family "Bacterial small subunit ribosomal RNA". The record is from RNAcentral. Lineage: Bacteria; Bacillati; Bacillota; Bacilli; Caryophanales; Bacillaceae.